GGGGGGGGGGGGGGGGGGGGGGGGGGGGGGGGGGGGGGGGGGGGGGGGGGGGAGGGUGGGUUGCGGAGGUUGGCGGCGGGCGGGGGGGUGACGCGUGGGGAGCCGACCUAUAGGACUGGGAGGACUUCGGGAAACCGGAGCUAAUACCGGAUAAUAUUGUGACCCGCAUGGGUCAAAAGUGAACGACGGUCUUGCUGUCACUUAUAGAGGGAUCCGCGCUGCAUUAGCUAGUUGGUAAGGUAACGGCUUACCAAGGCAACGAUGCAUAGCCGACCUGAGAGGGUGAUCGGCCACACUGGAACUGAGACACGGUCCAGACUCCUACGGGAGGCAGCAGUAGGGAAUCUUCCGCAAUGGGCGAAAGCCUGACGGAGCAACGCCGCGUGAGUGAUGAAGGUCUUCGGAUCGUAAAACUCUGUUAUUAGGGAAGAACAUAUGUGUAAGUAACUGUGCACAUCUUGACGGUACCUAAUCAGAAAGCCACGGCUAACUACGUG
This 497-nucleotide ribosomal RNA is filed under the name uncultured bacterium. RNAcentral describes it as "partial 16S ribosomal RNA". It matches the Rfam family "Bacterial small subunit ribosomal RNA", at positions 39 to 507 of the family's 1533-position model. The record is from RNAcentral.